RNAcentral lists this long non-coding RNA (622 nucleotides) under Gallus gallus (chicken). Lineage: Eukaryota; Metazoa; Chordata; Aves; Galliformes; Phasianidae. The record is from RNAcentral.
CUCUAUAAUUUGUUAUUCUGCCAGAAAAUGUGGACAACAGUGAAUGUGUUAGAGGCCUUUCCAUCCUGUUUUACCUGAUCUGUUUACUUGAAGCAGCAUGGAAGUGCCUGUCUGUGAUGGAUGAUGUGAAGGAAGGAUCCUCACUAAACUCUUGAGAGGAACAAAUACCUACAGUCCAGACAAGAAGUCUGAAUAAACUGGUACAGUGAGUGUAAAGUCCACCAGGUAAUCUGCAUGUGUAGAUUAUGCCUUGUAUUAUAAAGUAUUUCUAUCAUUCUAAAGUACUCAUCCCUAAAAGCUGUACUAAAUUUUAACAGUUCAUCACAGUUGCAAAUCAAUAUUUGAAGUGCUGGGAUGGUUUCUGCUACCAAAUAAGUUUUUAUCUGUGAAAUAAAAAUAUGUUUUAAGAAGCCUAUAAAUAUGGGCUUUCUUUGCCUUUCAAGGUUAUGAGAUUUAUCUUAAUAUAAAUUGCAGGUUUGCAGGAGUGAUAUACAGUAGCUUACUACAAUUAGGUGAAGCUACCAGUAUUCCAGAGACCUGACUGUUUGUAUUACGUGAGUCCUUUUUGUGAAAAGAUAAAAAGAACAAUAUAACAUGUAAUGUAUCAGGGGGGAAAAAAAAU